Chroicocephalus ridibundus (black-headed gull) is the source of this 3159-nucleotide long non-coding RNA. RefSeq lists it as uncharacterized. The transcript has 4 exons. The record is from RefSeq and is a predicted model, not a curated record. NCBI's taxonomy places the organism in Eukaryota, Metazoa, Chordata, Aves, Charadriiformes, Laridae.
UUUUACAUCCCCCCCACCGCCGGCCCUGGUGCCCGGCGCGGAGCGAUGCAGCGUCCCUGGGUCUCGUUCCGGGGCGAAAACCCCUGUUCCGCAGGUUUUUGGUGCAGAGGCGCUGGCUCUCGCUGCCUGGGCUGCGAAUGCAGAGAGGGCAGAGCCGGUCCCUGCCUGGGCUAAAGCGGGCUGAGAGCGGUCACCACUCAUCACCCUAAUGAGGGCCGCGAGCGGGACAGUUAAGGGGGUGCUGCCGCCGGGCGGCUGAAGGCUGGUCCUGCAGGGGGGGAGCCGCGCGUGCGCCGUGGCCACGCGCCCGGCGGCGGUGUGCGUUGGUGCCGCAGCUCGUGCUCAUGCGCGACCUCGCGGAGACCGGUCCGGCGCCGGCCUCGGGAGAGCGGCAGCCGGAGCGUGAACCAGGACCGCCGGGACUCCGGCGAGCUCCCCGCCACCUCGAGCGGGAUUGGUGCCGCCCGCCCGGCCUCGAGAGCGGCCAUCGGCGCUCCCAUACCGGCCCUUACGCGUUACCGCGCCCCCGUCAGUGCCCGCCAGUUUCCGGGUGUCCAUGUCCGUGGUCCUCCAGGACCCCGGAAGUGCCCCCUCAGUCCGGCGACGCGCGUCUGUACGACACUUUAGUCCUCCAUUAGCCCCCUCAGUCCGCCGACGCGCGUCUCUGUGGCACUUUAGUCCCCCAGGACCCCGUAAAUGCUCAUCAGUCUUCUGGAAAUCAUAUGCUUCCAGCACUCUUCCAAAACACGACUAACAGUUAACCACAAAAAUAUCUGAAGACCGCAAAAAUAAAGCGACCCCUGCGGGGAACUCUCUUCUCUACAGCAACAACUGGACAGGCCUCAAACAAAAGCGGUCAGUAACUUUGUAAUGAGUGUUUAUGGCGUGCCCGGAUGGUUUAAUAGGAUGCUUUUCUUUAUUCAAGGAGUGCUGCGUUUUCUAGAAUUCCUGACUUUAUUGAUGAUAGAACUGUGGGGUUUUUUCACCAGUUUUGCAGUAUGUGGUGUAAGUUGCUGACAUUGUUUCUCAUUGUUUCAGGGAGGAGUUUUAAGGUCAGGGUAGAGCCGAGGGCGAUCCAGGAGCUGUCUCCUCUGAGUAGGUAGAGGGAGCGGGUUACUCUUCAGUACAAAGCACGGUCACUGCCCCAGUCCUGGCCAUACCAUUCCUGACACACUCCACAAACACUUCUCCCAUGUCCCUCUCACAUCAGGCAGGCUGGGAGGGCUGCCCAGCUCCCCUCGGACCCGCGGCAGAGCCCUCCGCUCACCCCUGCCUCCUCACCAUGACCAAACCCCCCUUUUUGGGGCAAAACGAGGUACCAUGUGAAGAGCCACACGCAGCUGAGCCUUCGAGCCAGCAUCGCAGAGGCAAAGGGAUGUUUAUUGUUACUGCUGGAGCUGAGCGGUGGGUGCGUGGAGAGGCCGGGGAUGCUGAAAAGCAGCUCCUGGUGCCCCUGUGGUGACUGAAGCCAGUCCCAGACCUCAGGUCUCCUCCAAAUCGCAAACGUCCGCUCAAUGAAAAAGCAACAGAUGAUUAUCACUAUGAGAAAUUCAGGAAGAUCAAAGGACAGAUUUAUAUUAAAGAGAAGUCCUACCAUGGCACGCGCACACAUAGCAAGCUAUUGUUUCCUGAAGACAAGUCCGGAGACUUGGUCCCACAGCUCCACAAGACUGGCAAGUUCCCUGUAUAUUCAUGAAAAAAGAAGGUUUGUUUGCAUGUUUGUUUUUUAAGUUACCUAAUUCUUCAAGAGUGGGAAACUUCUCUGUAACACAGGCCUCGCCAACCUGCAGCUCACAGUGUUUAGUUUUUUAAUAUCACACUUCCAAUUAAAGUGACACAUUUGAGCAGGAUAAAAUGACAGCAAGAAAUAGAUCAGAUGGGGUGGGCAAAGGCUUACUUUAUGGACCUGUGCAGGGUACAUCAGCAUGGAAGAAGAGUUUCUGCCCCUCCUCUAUGGAGACAGGCAGUAUUUUCUUCAAAAAACAAACAUGCAAACCCAUGCACAAUAGCUAAAGGGGAAAGGACUGACAACCAGAACACCCUGUACCUUGGCACCUCUCCUAUGGAAUCCAGGUGAGGACAGAUGUCUCUUGUAACCCCCAUUUUCACCAGCGCUCACCUGCGGGGGUGUGUUUUCCUAGGACAAGAACGGAGAGUUCCUUUCAGUUACACGCCAGAUUUGCUCUCACAGGUUGUAAGAAGAUAAAUUAGUAUGUUUUGUGUAUUAGAGAUUAAGAUAUCCAUCUUCAAGGUUCAAAGAGAUCAACACAAGUCUAAAUCAGGAGCCAGUCAUGUUAGCCAGCGCAGCUCUGACCCGUUGCUAACCCAUAGGGAAGCGAGCCAGGCAAUGGGGAGGAGAAGGAAACGCACGAAUAAAGGUAAUGAUCAGAACAAUGAGGGAUGUGUCUGGAUCAUGUAGCGUCUCUGAAUGAUGCAGAGUCUAAUAGCAAUGGAUAAAAACUCGCAUUAACUCCUACAUGCCUUACAUCAUACAUAACUUAACUGCUUUUGUUUACCACAAAUACUCUGUUCUCCCUGAACCUGAGCAGACUGGUAAACCACACGUUCCCCCCUAGAAACUGGGGGUUCUGCGCUAGCUCAGCAGGCAGGGCGGGAAAACAAACAUUUCUCUACACUCUGUUGUUUUCACAUUUUGAGGACAUUUGAAAGAAUUCCCAGCGUUAUCUGGUCUGAAUCACUGACAGUGGGGAGAAAAGAAGAAAAAAAAAAAAAAGGAUAAAUGAAUAAGCCAUAUCAGCAACACUUAUCUUGUGAGCUGCAGAGCUUGCCUAGCACCUUGCCUUGGCAGAAAACAAACCUCAAGGAUAAUUUUAUAACAAUGUUUUUCCAACGCUCUUUGGAACUCAAUGAACUGAACUGGAGGAGCAAAGCAAAAUUGAAGGGGGAAGGAAUCAUAUUUACAUGCCAGAAAACACAACAGGGGUUGUAACCAGGAUCCCUAUAACCUGCGGAGAGAUGCUGAACAAACAACCGACCAAUCUCAGGCACCUUCACCGAGAAGCAAAAUAGUGUCACGUAACAGCUGUCGGUUUAAAAGACGAGUGACAAGAGCACAGUAUCUUUGACUAACACAUAAAAACUGGGACGCUUUCAGGCUCUGAGUUCCUUCCUCAAAACUGACCCCUCUUCCCAAGUGCA